RNAcentral lists this ribosomal RNA (621 nucleotides) under uncultured bacterium. Its description in RNAcentral is "bacterial SSU rRNA". It matches the Rfam family "Bacterial small subunit ribosomal RNA", at positions 26 to 676 of the family's 1533-position model. The record is from RNAcentral.
AGAGCGAACGCUGGCGGCAGGCUUAACACAUGCAAGUCGAACGAGAAGCCGGGCUUCGGCCCGGUGGACAGUGGCGCACGGGUGAGUAACGCGUGGGAACCUGCCCAUGAGUGGGGAAAAACGGUUGGAAACGACCGCCAAUUCCGCAUACGCCCUACGGGGGAAAGGCUUCGGCCGCUCAUGGAUGGGCCCGCGUCCGAUUAGCUUGUUGGUGAGGUAAUGGCUCACCAAGGCGACGAUCGGUAGCUGGUCUGAGAGGACGAUCAGCCACAUUGGGACUGAGACACGGCCCAGACUCCUACGGGAGGCAGCAGUGGGGAAUAUUGGACAAUGGGCGAAAGCCUGAUCCAGCCAUGCCGCGUGAGUGAUUUGAAGGCCCUAGGGUUGUAAAGCUCUUUCGGCGGGGAAGAUGAUGACGGUACCCGCAGAAGAAGCCCCGGCUAACUCCGUGCCAGCAGCCGCGGUAAUACGGAGGGGGCUAGCGUUGCUCGGAAUCACUGGGCGUAAAGCGAGCGUAGGCGGCCGCGCAAGUCGGGGGUGAAAGCCCGGGGCUCAACCCCGGAACUGCCCUCGAAACUGCGUGGCUAGAGGCCGGGAAGAGGAGAGUGGAAUUCCCAGUGG